This 484-nucleotide ribosomal RNA is filed under the name uncultured bacterium. RNAcentral's name for it is "partial 16S ribosomal RNA". It matches the Rfam family "Bacterial small subunit ribosomal RNA", at positions 30 to 507 of the family's 1533-position model. The record is from RNAcentral.
AUUGAACGCUAGCGGGAUGCUUUACACAUGCAAGUCGAACGGCAGCGCGGACUUCGGUCUGGCGGCGAGUGGCGAACGGGUGAGUAAUGUAUCGGAACGUGCCCAGUAGCGGGGGAUAACUACGCGAAAGCGUAGCUAAUACCGCAUACGCCCUACGGGGGAAAGCAGGGGAUCGUAAGACCUUGCACUAUUGGAGCGGCCGAUAUCGGAUUAGCUAGUUGGUGAGGUAACGGCUCACCAAGGCGACGAUCCGUAGCUGGUUUGAGAGGACGACCAGCCACACUGAGACUGAGACACGGCCCAGACUCCUACGGGAGGCAGCAGUGGGGAAUUUUGGACAAUGGGGGCAACCCUGAUCCAGCCAUCCCGCGUGUGCGAUGAAGGCCUUCGGGUUGUAAAGCACUUUUGGCAGGAAAGAAACGUCGCGGGCUAAUACCCCGUGGAACUGACGGUACCUGCAGAAUAAGCACCGGCUAACUACGUG